CAUCUAUGCCGCCGCCGACGACGGCCUGGCUCCUCCUCCACCCAUGCGCCCCCUCCCAAUCUCCAUAGCCUCCAACAACCAACUCCAUCUCCUGCCUCCUGCAACUAGUCCUGCCAGUGCGCCGCGUCCGCCGCCGGUGAAUGCCGUCCACAAGGACUGCCCCUGGCCCCUCUGCUCCGGCGCUCCUCGGUCGUCCCCGGCCCUUUGCCUGGUCGCUAGGGACGUGCUGCUCCACGCCUGCUCCUGCCGGUGGCCGCCGCCUUCCGCGCCGGCUCUGGCGCUUUGCUCCUGCCAAUCCCGGGCUGCUCGCCUGCUCGGCCGGACUCUGCCGCCCAGGACAGGAUUUGCUGUCAACAAACAGCAAGCAGGCUGGGACAGGGAAAAAGAAGAGGAAGAUAUAUUUCAUUGCAAGUUUCAACACCCAGUGUUUCAGUUGGACUGAAUCAACUCCACAAAUUGGAACAACCAUAGAUUGGACCACCGCCUUUGGCUUCAAACAACCCGCCUUCAAUCUCAACUCGAGAAAGUACCUCUUUUGUAUCCCAUACUCUUUUCUUGAAGUUUUUGGCAUGUUUUUAUCUAUUUUGUUGUAUCAUUAAGAAUUGAGUUUAAAUUCUAGAGAGACAUACCAUUUGUCUGGAAGUAUCAAGCAUUGGAUGUAAAGUGGACAACCUAUUCAGUACUGAAACAAUAUAUGUAGCAUGUAUGAAGCUGAAUCAUGCUUAUAACACUGAAGAGCACAGUAACUUCCAUAAUGCAAGUAAGUAGCUGCAAUCUUCCAGGAUUUUUUAUAAAUAAAUCAGCAACAUGCCACUCACCUAAGUUGUCUUUUCAGCGUAUCCUACCAUGCGCCAAUGAGGCAAGUGGUAGUGUAUCCUAAAAAUCCCCUUUUCCUGAAGGUGUAAACACAUGCAGCAACUGAUCGUGUGCAUUAGAAUGCACUGUUUGAUAAUUACUCUCUUAGGCCCUGCUUGCUAACUUUGUAAAAAUAUGCGACCGGCUACCCUUCAACAAUUGCAAGUCACUUGGGGACUGUUUGGUUUCCAGCCAAAUGUUGCCAGACCUAUGGUUAGGCACACAUAAUUUCUGAGGUGAGUGAGUGUUCGGUUGGCUGACACAGUUGUGGCUUGCGACUUUACUAGUCACAUGAUUAAGGAGUAUAUUUUGGCCACACUUUUGUGGCAAGCCACACUCUGUCCUGAGGGGUAACAAUUACUACUUUUGGCUUAGUUGUGGCAAAGUAAGCUUUUAACCAAACUAGGGUGUUAAAUUGGUCUUAAGUUUCAAUCUAGUAUUGUAGAUCAUCACAUAUGUUCUCUGUUUCUUGUUCAAUGAUGUUUUAUCUGACUUGUUAAUCAGUCCAACUUAAUAUCCCUUUUCCUGUUAUCCUUAGAACAAAUAGAUAUGACGUGUAUGCAGUGCAGCCCACUAAUUAUUUAGAUUCCAUUGCAAACGCCCUUUUAUACAUGCUUUUCAUUUUUCAUUCAGGUGGCUGCACAUAUCCUCCAGGUUUCUGUAAUUGGGAAGGAGUGUAUUUCCAGUAUGGUGAUAACUGUAUAUAUAAUAAUACUGACUGUGAUCAUUGGCCUUUUUUUACCUUCUGUUGUACCUUGAUUUUUGUAUAUGGUGCUUACCUGAGAUGCACAAGAUCAUCAAUAACAUGAUGAUAUAAAGCAGGGAAAUUAACACAGUUGUUUUUUAAAGCACCCUAUUAUAUGGUUUUUAUGCUCAGUUUGGAUACUUAGAUAGUCCAACAAUCUUAGUAGUUUUGCAGAAGGAAAGAAGUCCCUACAUCAAUUAGAAAGAGUAAAUAUUUCUAGAUAAUUGAAGGCCCUGCAUAUAUAAUAUCAAUCAUGUGUCCUAUUUUAUAUUUUUGUUUUUUCAUGUGGUGUGUGUUUCCUUUUCGAUGUAGCCAGAGUUGGGAUUAGGGGGAGAAAGAUGGCAGCAUAUGUGCAAUUGUAUUGAACUGAGUGGCGUCUUUGCAUACUAGUUAAACCUACAAUGGCACAUUUCUUUUGAUGUUUUUCAAUUCAAGGUUGAUGAAAUAUUUUAGGAUCCAAUCAUUGAAUUAAAAUAUCUAUGUAUUCCAUGCUUUUCUUGCAAAAAGAUUUAAAUCAGCUUUCAUCUCUUAAAUAACACAUGUGAAGUUAUACACUGACAUAUGUUUUUUUUGUUUAAUUACUUCGGCAUAUCAAAGGGCGAUGGAUCGAGGUUGGAUGAGUCAACCAAGAGCUAGUGCUGCUUACAAAGAUGGUGUCGAACAAUUUUUGUCUUUUGCAUUCCAUGAUGUUCCAGCUGGUGAUAGAAUUCUCUGUCCUUGUGUAAAUUGCCGAAAUAAAGCUAUGCAGAGUUAUGAUGGAGUGAAAACUCACUUGAGAUGUGAUGGUAUUCUUCAAGGUUACACUAAGUGGGUUUGCCAUGUAGAGGAUUACAGUGAACCAUCAUUUGGAUUUGCUCAUGUAUCAGAUAACAGUGGCAAUUUUUCUAUUCCUGGCAUCCCAAGGAAUGUUGUUGGAGAAGGCAACCAUGGAAGGAUGGAUGACAUGCCAGGACUCUUAAGUGCUGUCUUUGCUAUGGCUAAUAGUUGUGAAUCUUUAUCAAGCACAUCUGAUGGUGAAUUAGAUGCGUUGAAUUUGAGAAUAUGGUACCUAAUUCAGUUGAGGAUGAGAAUGCAGAUGCUCAAACAAGGAAGAAACCUAAUACGUAUGCAAGCUUCUUGGAGGAUGCAAACACAGAGUUAUACCCUGGAUGUAAAGCAUUUUCUAAGUUGUCAUUUCUCAUCACCUUGUAUCACAUGAAAUGCUUACAUGGAUGGUCACAAGAAUCA
Aegilops tauschii subsp. strangulata is the source of this 2827-nucleotide non-coding RNA. Lineage: Eukaryota; Viridiplantae; Streptophyta; Magnoliopsida; Poales; Poaceae. The record is from RefSeq and is a predicted model, not a curated record.